GACGAACGCUGGCGGCGUGCUUAACACAUGCAAGUCGAACGGAAAGGCCCUGCUUUUGUUGGGUGCUCGAGUGGCGAACGCGUGAGUAACACGUGAGUAACCUGCCCUUGACUUUGGGAUAACUUCAGGAAACUGGGGCUAAUACCGGAUAUGAGCUCCUGCUGCAUGGUGGGGGUUGGAAAGUUUCGGCGGUUGGGGAUGGACUCGCGGCUUAUCAGCUUGUUGGUGGGGUAGUGGCUUACCAAGGCUUUGACGGGUAGCCGGCCUGAGAGGGUGACCGGCGACAUUGGGACUGAGGGACGGCCCAGACUCCUACGGGAGGCAGCAGUGGGGAAUAUGGCGCAAUGGGCGGAAGCCUGAUGCAGCAACGCCGGGUGCGGGAUGACGGCCUUCGGGUUGUAAACCGCUUUCGCCGGUGACGAAGCGUGAGUGACGGUAAUGGGUAAAGAAGCAACGGCUAACUACGUG
Molecule: ribosomal RNA, 468 nt
Filed under: uncultured bacterium
Lineage: Bacteria
Description: partial 16S ribosomal RNA
Rfam family: Bacterial small subunit ribosomal RNA
Source: RNAcentral